Molecule: ribosomal RNA, 253 nt
Filed under: uncultured bacterium
Lineage: Bacteria
Description: partial 16S ribosomal RNA
Rfam family: Bacterial small subunit ribosomal RNA
Source: RNAcentral
UACAGAGGGGGCAAGCGUUGUUCGGAAUUACUGGGCGUAAAGGGCUCGUAGGCGGCCAACUAAGUCAGACGUGAAAUCCCUCGGCUUAACCGGGGAACUGCGUCUGAUACUGGAUGGCUAGAGAUUGGGAGAGGGAUGCGGAAUUCCAGGUGUAGCGGUGAAAUGCGUAGAUAUCUGGAGGAACACCGGUGGCGAAGGCGGCAUCCUGGACCAACACUGACGCUGAGGAGCGAAAGCCAGGGGAGCAAACGGG